AAGUCGUAACAAGGUAACCGUAGGUGAACCUGCGGUUGGAUCAUUAACAAAUUUAUUAAGAACACUUGAAAGAGAUUCGUCGAUUUCAUAGUGCUCCUAACAUCAUGUGAACCAAUUACUGAAUCUUGGUAAUGCUGAAGGAUGUAUCUGGCAACGGGUACAUACGAUGCUUACCAAAAAUCUAAACAUUAUAAAUAUUAAAAACUUUGUCUUGAAUUAAAUUAUAUUCUAAUUUAAACAACUUUUGACAACGGAUCUCUAGGCUCUC
This 268-nucleotide unclassified non-coding RNA is filed under the name fungal sp. RNAcentral's name for it is "partial internal transcribed spacer region". The stretch from base 1 to 46 matches the Rfam family "Eukaryotic small subunit ribosomal RNA", at positions 1786 to 1831 of the family's 1831-position model. The record is from RNAcentral. Lineage: Eukaryota; Fungi.